This is a long non-coding RNA of Strongylocentrotus purpuratus (purple sea urchin), 603 nucleotides long. RefSeq lists it as uncharacterized. The transcript has 4 exons. NCBI's taxonomy places the organism in Eukaryota, Metazoa, Echinodermata, Echinoidea, Camarodonta, Strongylocentrotidae. The record is from RefSeq and is a predicted model, not a curated record.
UAUACACUCGCACAAACUGAGAAGAGUUAGUUCAUUGAGAAUGGAUUGAAACUGAUGAAGAUCGAGCUGGAAGGAGUUAACUGAUGAGUAGACAUUACAACAUUUCUUAUAUUUGCAAGAUGAAGCUGAAAGUCCCAUGCAGGAUGAUGCUUCUCUACAGUGGAUGAUGAAGGCAUGCUGAUUACAAACCCAGGAGAGGAACAAAGAACAGAUAUUGACAGAAUCAUAUCUAGAGAUGCGGGCCUACUACACUUCAUACGAGCAAGUUUGCUAAAGUAAUAUACAAUACUUGGGUAUCAUUACAGCCCUUACUUCUGAAACCUAGGCUACAACUUUAUUGAUGAAUGCAGGAGACAUCUACAUGGGACUACGUCUUGAAGAUGCCACCCUCAUAUAAUGAAAGAGGACAGUAGAGAUGGGUUUAAACUUGAAUAUUUACAUGAUAUUUAUUUAUUAUUUGUAUUAUAUGUUUGUAGAAUAGCACAAUCAAUCAAGCUAAUGAAUUUAUCAUCAUGUCAACUUUCAAAUGAUUAAAGAUAACUAAUCAUCAAUGAAUAAACAUUAACAUUUUAACAACAUCAACUACCAUCUUAUAGGAGGACU